RNAcentral lists this ribosomal RNA (468 nucleotides) under uncultured bacterium. RNAcentral's name for it is "partial 16S ribosomal RNA". It matches the Rfam family "Bacterial small subunit ribosomal RNA", at positions 28 to 507 of the family's 1533-position model. The record is from RNAcentral.
GGCGAACGCUGGCGGCGUGCUUAACACAUGCAAGUCGAACGGAAAGGCCCUGCUUUUGUGGGGUGCUCGAGUGGCGAACGGGUGAGUAACACGUGAGUAACCUGCCCUUGACUUUGGGAUAACUUCAGGAAACUGGGGCUAAUACCGGAUAGGAGCUCCUGCUGCAUGGUGGGGGUUGGAAAGUUUCGGCGGUUGGGGAUGGACUCGCGGCUUAUCAGCUUGUUGGUGGGGUAGUGGCUUACCAAGGCUUUGACGGGUAGCCGGCCUGAGAGGGUGACCGGCCACAUUGGGACUGAGAUACGGCCCAGACUCUUACGGGAGGCAGCAGUGGGGAAUAUUGCACAAUGGGCGGAAGCCUGAUGCAGCAACGCCGCGUGCGGGAUGACGGCCUUCGGGUUGUAAACCGCUUUCGCCUGUGACGAAGCGUGAGUGACGGUAAUGGGUAAAGAAGCACCGGCUAACUACGUG